UACGGAGGGGGCUAGCGUUGUUCGGAAUUACUGGGCGUAAAGCGCACGUAGGCGGCUUUGUAAGUUCGCCGUCAAAUCCCAGGGCUCAACCCUGGACAGGUGGUGGAAACUACCAAGCUAGAGUACGGUAGGGGCAGAGGGAAUUUCCGGUGGAGCGAUGAAAUGCGUAGAGAUCGGAAGGAACACCCAAGGCGAAAGCACUCUGCUGGGCCGACACUGACACUGAGAGACGAAAGCUAGGGGAGCAAAUGGG
Molecule: ribosomal RNA, 253 nt
Filed under: uncultured bacterium
Lineage: Bacteria
Description: partial 16S ribosomal RNA
Rfam family: Bacterial small subunit ribosomal RNA
Source: RNAcentral